CUACGGGAGGCAGCAGUGAGGAAUAUUGCACAAUGGGGGGAACCCUGAUGCAGCAACGCCGCGUGGAGGAUGACGCAUUUCGGUGUGAAAACUCCUUUUAUAUGUCAAGAAAAUGACGGUAGCAUAUGAAUAAGCACCGGCUAACUCCGUGCCAGCAGCCGCGGUAUACGGAGGGUGCAAGCGUUACUCGGAAUCACUGGGCGUAAAGGACGCGUAGGCGGGUUGGACAGUCUGGUGUGAAAUCCUACAGCUUAACUGUAGAACUGCACUUGAAACUUCUAAUCUAGAGUAUGGGAGGGGGAGAUGGAAUUAGUGGUGUAGGGGUAAAUUCCGUAGAUAUCACUAGGAAUACCUAAAGCGAAGGCGAUCUCCUGGAACAUUACUGACGCUAAGGCGUGAAAGCGUGGGGAGCAAACAGGAUUAGAUACCCCCGUAGUC
This 438-nucleotide ribosomal RNA is filed under the name uncultured bacterium. Its description in RNAcentral is "partial 16S ribosomal RNA". It matches the Rfam family "Bacterial small subunit ribosomal RNA", at positions 339 to 795 of the family's 1533-position model. The record is from RNAcentral.